AUUGAACGCUGGCGGCAUGCCUUACACAUGCAAGUCGAACGGCAGCACGGGUGCUUGCACCUGGUGGCGAGUGGCGAACGGGUGAGUAAUACAUCGGAACAUGUCCUGUAGUGGGGGAUAGCCCGGCGAAAGCCGGAUUAAUACCGCAUACGAUCUACGGAUGAAAGCGGGGGACCUUCGGGCCUCGCGCUAUAGGGUUGGCCGAUGGCUGAUUAGCUAGUUGGUGGGGUAAAGGCCUACCAAGGCGACGAUCAGUAGCUGGUCUGAGAGGACGACCAGCCACACUGGGACUGAGACACGGCCCAGACCCCGACGGGAGGCAGCAGUGGGGAAUUUUGGACAAUGGGCGAAAGCCUGAUCCAGCAAUGCGGCGUGUGUGAAGAAGGCCCUCGGGUUGUAAAGCACUUUUGUCCGGAAAGAAAUCCUUGGCCCUAAUACGGUCGGGGGAUGACGGUACCGGAAGAAUAAGCACCGGCUAACUACGU
Molecule: ribosomal RNA, 485 nt
Filed under: uncultured bacterium
Lineage: Bacteria
Description: partial 16S ribosomal RNA
Rfam family: Bacterial small subunit ribosomal RNA
Source: RNAcentral